UACUCGAGUGGCGAACGGGUGAGUAACACGUGGGUGAUCUGCCCUGCACUCUGGGAUAAGCCUGGGAAACUGGGUCCAAUACCGGAUAGGACCAUGCUUUAGUGUGUGUGGUGGAAAGUUUUUUCGGUGUAGGAUGAGCCCGCGGCCUAUCAGCUUGUUGGUGGGGUAAUGGCCUACCAAGGCGGCGACGGGUAGCCGGACUGAGAGGUUGGUCGGCCACAUUGGGACUGAGAUACGGCCCAG
This 243-nucleotide ribosomal RNA is filed under the name uncultured Actinomycetales bacterium. Its description in RNAcentral is "partial 16S ribosomal RNA". It matches the Rfam family "Bacterial small subunit ribosomal RNA", at positions 88 to 334 of the family's 1533-position model. Lineage: Bacteria; Bacillati; Actinomycetota; Actinomycetes; Actinomycetales. The record is from RNAcentral.